RNAcentral lists this ribosomal RNA (460 nucleotides) under uncultured bacterium. Its description in RNAcentral is "partial 16S ribosomal RNA". It matches the Rfam family "Bacterial small subunit ribosomal RNA", at positions 338 to 795 of the family's 1533-position model. The record is from RNAcentral.
CCUACGGGAGGCAGCAGUGAGGAAUAUUGGUCAAUGGACGAGAGUCUGAACCAGCCAAGUAGCGUGAAGGAUGACUGCGCUAUGGGUUGUAAACUUCUUUUAUAUGGGAAUAAAAUGUUCCACGUGUGGGAUUUUGUAUGUACCAUAUGAAUAAGGAUCGGCUAACUCCGUGCCAGCAGCCGCGGUAAUACGGAGGAUCCGAGCGUUAUCCGGAUUUAUUGGGUUUAAAGGGAGCGUAGGUGGAUUGUUAAGUCAGUUGUGAAAGUUCGCGGCUCAACCGUAAAAUUGCAGUUGAAACUGGCAGGCUUGAGUACAGUAGAGGUAGGCGGAAUGCGUGGUGUAGCGGUGAAAUGCUUAGAUAUCGCGAAGAACUCCGAUUGCGAAGGCAGCUCACUGGACUGCAACCGACACUGAGGCUCGAAAGUGUGGGUAUCAAACAGGAUUAGAUACCCCGGUAGUC